UUGGAAAACAAACUUUCAACUGAAAUUUUGCAGUUAAAUUAGAUUUGGUCCAGUUACCUAUUCAUCUUAAAUCCACAGUGUUAUUAGUUACUUAUAGUUGAGAAUGUGUUCACAUAAGGUUAAAAUAAAUAUUAAAUUAAUGUAAAUAACCCUAUUAAAGUUUUACUAUAUUUGUUUUAAUGACUUGGGACUUUUAAAAUUUUCUUUUUAAAAUCAUUUUUUCAACUCUAUUAUUUUGUUUGUUCCUACAUGUGAAAGUUGUGCUUUUCAUGAUUGUCAGAAGAAUAGCUUUCCAUAUGAAAAUGGCAUCCAUCAACAUCAUGUUUUCGAUAAGGGAAAGAGAGACUUCUUAAAUCUUUGUCUGAGAAACAGCUCUACUUAUUAUAAAGAUAAUUCAAAAGAAACUUCAAACACAGAUUUUGACAACAUCGUGGAUCCUGAUGUGUAUUCUUCUGACAUUGAAAAAAUUGAGGAAAGCACCUCCUUUGAAAGAAAUUUAAAGGAGAAAAAUAUAGGUUUAGAAAGUAAUCAAAAGUCUGAUGAUUCCUGUGUAUCACUUGAAAGCAAGGACACUUUGCUAGGUAGAGAUUUAGAAAAAGCUCCCAUUGAGGAGAAAUUAUCUCAAGACAUCAAAGAAUCCUUGGAAUUGAGCAAUCUGUAUAAGAGGCCAAGCUUUGAAGAAUCAAAAACUACAAAGUCAUCACUGUUGUUACAAGAAAUAGCCUGCAGAAGUAAGCCUAUAACAAAACAAUAUCAAGGACUUGAGAGAUUCUUUAUUUUUGAUACAAAUGAAAGACUCAACUUACUUCCUUCUCAUCGUUUAGAAUGCAACAAUUCCAGUACUAGGAUUACACUUGCAGGUCAGAAAUCACAGAGACCUUCAACAGCAAAUUUUCCACUUUCCAACUCUGUUAAAGAAAGCUCCAGUUGCCUUUCAUCCUCUCAUCCUCGAUCAAGAAGUGCAGCUGCUCAAUCAUCAUCUAGAGCUGCUUCUGAAAUUUCAGAAAUUGAAUAUAUUGAUAUUACUGACCAGAAUGAGCUUUCCUUAGAUGACACUACUGAUCAACAUACUUUAGACAAUUUGGAAAAAGAAUUACAAGUGCUGAGAUCUCUUGCAGAUACUUCAGAAAAGCUUUACAGCUUAACCUCAGAAGAGUUCCCAGAUUUCAGCAGCCAAUCACUGAAUAUAAGUCAGAUUUCCACAGAUUUCCUUAAGACCUCACAUGUGAGGGGUCCCUGUGGAGUUGAGGAAUUGAGCUGUUCUGGAAGAGAUACCAAAAUUCAGUCUUUGCUGUCACUUUCUGAGAGCAGUACAGAUGAGGAGGAGGAAGAUUUUCUCAACAAGCAACAUGUCAUCACACUACCGUGGUCAAAGAGUACUUAAAGAUUAUUUGUUCAUUACUGUUUCCAUUUUGUACCCAGAGUAAAGCAAACAACUGAGAAAAGUAACCAAGUGAUUACCUAUCCAAGUGCUGGAGAUUUUGAUUACUAAUGUCUUUGAUGUUUCAAGGCUACAAACUAAUAAAAGUAAAAUUAUAAGUUCAAGGGCUUAUUCUUCCAAUGAUAUAUUAUAUGUCAACCACUAAUCUAUAUUGCAGAUUAUGUUAGUAAAAUAUGGUGAAUUUGAAGAAAUAACUGUUACAACUGUGUCUAUAAAACCUACUAUAGGGCAGAACAUGAUUAUACUUAAAGAAAUAUUUCAUCGUCCAAUUAUAUUUUAAAUAAUUAUGUCAUCAACAAGAGUGUGCAUUUGACAGCCAAGUCACACUAGUUAGUAUCAUCAAUUGAACCUAUAAUUACACUGUUUAUUUUCUGGUUUUUAACAUUUAUAGAAGUUCUGGUAUCUUCAAAAAUUUGCAAUAAAAGAAAAAAAGAGGACCAAAAAUAAAAUGGGUGUGAAACUUUUCAUACUCUGCUCUAGCAAAACACAGUAAAGACCUCUAAGCAUCUUUUUUUAAGAAGGUCAAUGUAGUGAUUAGCUUUAUGUGAAAAUGUGACUGGUCUACAAUACCCAAAUGAUAUGGGUUGGCUCUGUCCCCACCCAGAUCUCAUCUUGAAUUGUAGUUUCUAUAAUCUCCAGGUGUCCUGGGAGGGACCUGGUGGGAAGUAAUUGAAUCAUGGGGGCAGUUACCCCUAUGCUGCUGUUCUCGUGAUAAUGAGUUCUCAUGUGAUCUGAUGGUUUUAUAAGGGGCUGUCCCCCCUUUUGCUCAGGACUUCUCUUUGCUGCUCCACUUGAAGAAGAAUGUGUUUGCUUCCCCUUUCACCAUGAUUUCCUGAGGCCUCCCCCACCAUGCUGAACUGUGAGUCAAUUAAACCUCUGUCC
Molecule: long non-coding RNA, 2323 nt
Filed under: Homo sapiens (human)
Lineage: Eukaryota; Metazoa; Chordata; Mammalia; Primates; Hominidae
Description: HSALNT0315998
Source: RNAcentral